GUGCCCCAAAGCUGCCUCACCGUUUCACCUGCCUCCCCUUUGGGUAAAACUCUCCCCUCACUCCCAUUUUAUAGAUAGGGAAACUGCCCAAGGUCCCAUGGCCCUAAGUGGUGGAGCUCGGAUUCCAGGCCAGGUCGGUCUGGCCCACGACUCCUCCAGCAGGGACAGAGGAUGCUCCCACCCAGCAGUCCCACCCAGCACGGGCACAUCGGUCCUGCCCUUCUCUGCAGCUAUCAGUGGGGCAGAGAGGCACGAGUCCCCACUCACCCCACUCACACCAGCCGAGGCCAAGGACCCCCAACAGUGCGUGCUGCCUCCUGGUCUCAGAAUCCGAUGGUCAGGCCUGUCCUCUGCGCUCAGGAUAACAUCUGCAGGAGCACCAUGUGGGUGUGGGAGACCCAGGUGUCUGCGGGGGACAGAAUCCAGUGAAGUUUGCAAGCCCUCAGGUCCUCUCAGGAUUCUGGUCUCCUACACUUUCAGUCCUUCAGAUUCACCUGGAUCUUUCAAAUCCUCGAUCCACUCCCCGGCUUUCACCUCCCGUCCCAUGUCAGCCCCUCCUCCCGCCCGCCGCAGCCACCUCUGACCCCGCCUCCCACUGCUGCUCGUCCAACCCCUCCCCUGGCCACUCUAGCUCCGUUCCAGAGCAGCUUUCUGAAGGCACAAGUCACUCUGCUAGGAUCCCCAGUGCCUCCUCAUUGUCCACAGAAGGUUCGAGCCUUAAAAGCAUUCUGGGCCCUGGAGGAUGGAACCCCCCUCCACCCUGAACCUAGUCUCACUCACUCUGAGCUCCACAGGAUACUCUAGACAAACCCACUUCGUCCCGUGUCCUUCUUCCUCUUCCCCAGGCCUCUGCUCAUGCCAUUUCCUCCGCCAGAGCACAGGAGCUGUCUAGAUCCAGUUCCCUCCCAGGAACAUUCCCUCCCCACCCAGGCUGGGUCGGGUUCCGCUCCAGCCCUGCCGGCCAUAACUAGGUCUCCAUUCUCUGUAUCACCCCUGCCUUAAUGCGCACCUCCCUCACCCUGGCUUCCAGCCUCCAGGACGGUGUCUUGUUCAGAUCUGGAUUCCGGGGCUCGAGCCAGGGUUGGCACAUAAUAAAUCUGCACAAGGUCCUGCCACCACACCACCCGGACCCUCCUGGGCCCUGGCCUGGCACGCGCCUGGGCACAGAGGAAUUGGAUGGGGCUGGAUUGAAUCAGCAGUGUGGCACCGGGGCAGAACAGAGAGCCAAGGUAGUGGCACGGACAGGAAGGAAGGGGGUUCACAUCAGGUUCCCCAAGGACUGGGUACGUCUGGUUUCAAAUCUAGUUUAGCAGUUGCGUGUUUGGCAA
This 1328-nucleotide long non-coding RNA is filed under the name Chinchilla lanigera (long-tailed chinchilla). RNAcentral's name for it is "lncRNA (ENSCLAG00000025030.1)". Lineage: Eukaryota; Metazoa; Chordata; Mammalia; Rodentia; Chinchillidae. The record is from RNAcentral.